CCCCGCGGAAGAGUCCGGCGGCCGCCUUCGGGCGGAGAGGCCGGCACCGAAGGCGCAACCGCCCCGGAAACGCUCAGGUCCCAGGACCGCGGGGA
RNAcentral lists this non-coding RNA (95 nucleotides) under uncultured Alsobacter sp. RNAcentral describes it as "Glycine riboswitch". It matches the Rfam family "Glycine riboswitch aptamer". Rfam says of the family: This family represents the bacterial glycine riboswitch. Lineage: Bacteria; Pseudomonadati; Pseudomonadota; Alphaproteobacteria; Hyphomicrobiales; Alsobacteraceae. The record is from RNAcentral.